UGUGAUUUCUGAGUCUCAAAUCCCAAAGGGC
This 31-nucleotide non-coding RNA is filed under the name Rattus norvegicus (Norway rat). The record is from RNAcentral. Lineage: Eukaryota; Metazoa; Chordata; Mammalia; Rodentia; Muridae.